This 157-nucleotide small RNA is filed under the name Bradyrhizobium sp. ORS 278. RNAcentral's name for it is "Bradyrhizobiaceae sRNA BjrC80". It matches the Rfam family "Bradyrhizobiaceae sRNA BjrC80". The record is from Rfam by way of RNAcentral. Lineage: Bacteria; Pseudomonadati; Pseudomonadota; Alphaproteobacteria; Hyphomicrobiales; Nitrobacteraceae.
GAGAUGGAGGGUUGCCGGCCUGUUGCCCCCGCGCCGGCGGCUCUCCCAGGGGGCGGGUUUCAAAUUCCGCCCCCGCAACACCUUCCGUCAGGAACAUGCCCCCCUCCGUCGGAAGGAACUCGGGCGGUGAAGUCCCCCAGCUUCACCGCCCACUUUC